This 289-nucleotide unclassified non-coding RNA is filed under the name Hevea brasiliensis (rubber tree). Lineage: Eukaryota; Viridiplantae; Streptophyta; Magnoliopsida; Malpighiales; Euphorbiaceae. The record is from RNAcentral.
GGAACAUAGAUAUAUAGGUAUUAAUCAACUAAGUUCGUAAGAUAUGGAAUGAUCAUGUCUUACUUGUGCACUGCACUUUAUAGGUCAUGAAUCCCUAUGUUACUGAGAUCAUCAAAAAAUAUUGUCGCACCCGUGUCAGAACCUUCAAAAAUGCACUACUUUUGAAGUAUUUCCCAUGCACUCACGUCGAUAUUUUUGAAGAGUUUGAGAAACAUUCCUGCACAUAUAGUGUUAAAGAGUCCCAAAUUGAUUAUGGGAAGAAAAAUUAGUCUCCUUAUAUGGUAUUUAG